GACGAACGCUGGCGGCGUGCCUAAUACAUGCAAGUAGAACGCUGAAGGAGGAGCUUGCUUCUCUGGAUGAGUUGCGAACGGGUGAGUAACGCGUAGGUAACCUGCCUGGUAGCGGGGGAUAACUAUUGGAAACGAUAGCUAAUACCGCAUAAUAGUAGAUGUUGCAUGACAUUUGCUUAAAAGGUGCAAUUGCAUCACUACCAGAUGGACCUGCGUUGUAUUAGCUAGUUGGUGAGGUAACGGCUCACCAAGGCAACGAUACAUAGCCGACCUGAGAGGGUGAUCGGCCACACUGGGACGGAGACACGGCCCAGACUCCUACGGGAGGCAGCAGUAGGGAAUCUUCGGCAAUAGACGGAAGUCUGACCGAGCAACGCCGCGUGAGUGAAGAAGGUUUUCGGAUCGUAAAGCUCUGUUGUAAGAGAAGAACGAGUGUGAGAGUGGAAAGUUCACACUGUGACGGUAUCUUACCAGAAAGGGACGGCUAACUACGUG
Molecule: ribosomal RNA, 495 nt
Filed under: uncultured bacterium
Lineage: Bacteria
Description: partial 16S ribosomal RNA
Rfam family: Bacterial small subunit ribosomal RNA
Source: RNAcentral